This 503-nucleotide ribosomal RNA is filed under the name uncultured bacterium. RNAcentral's name for it is "bacterial SSU rRNA". It matches the Rfam family "Bacterial small subunit ribosomal RNA", at positions 8 to 507 of the family's 1533-position model. The record is from RNAcentral.
AGAGUUUGAUCAUGGCUCAGAUUAAACGCUGGCGGCAUGCCUUACACAUGCAAGUCGAACGGCAGCACGGGGGCAACCCUGGUGGCGAGUGGCGGACGGGUGAGUAAAGCAUCGGAACGUAUCCUGGAGUGGGGAUAACGUAGCGAAAGUUACGCUAAUACCGCAUAUUCUGUGAGCAGGAAAGCAGGGGAUCGCAAGACCUUGCGCUCUGGGAGCGGCCGAUGUCGGAUUAGCUAGUUGGUGGGGUAAAGGCCUACCAAGGCGACGAUCCGUAGCGGGUCUGAGAGGAUGAUCCGCCACACUGGGACUGAGACACGGCCCAGACUCCUACGGGAGGCAGCAGUGGGGAAUUUUGGACAAUGGGCGGAAGCCUGAUCCAGCCAUGCCGCGUGAGUGAAGAAGGCCUUCGGGUUGUAAAGCUCUUUCGGUGGGGAAGAAAUUGCACGGGUUAAUACCCUGUGUAGAUGACGGUACCCGACUAAGAAGCACCGGCUAACUACGUG